This 74-nucleotide transfer RNA is filed under the name Deltaproteobacteria bacterium. Its description in RNAcentral is "tRNA-Val". It matches the Rfam family "tRNA". From Rfam's summary of the family: Transfer RNA (tRNA) molecules are approximately 80 nucleotides in length. Their secondary structure includes four short double-helical elements and three loops (D, anti-codon, and T loops). RNAcentral also lists the same sequence under 1 other name. The record is from RNAcentral. Lineage: Bacteria; Pseudomonadati; Myxococcota; Myxococcia.
GGGCGCAUAACUCAGUUGGUUAGAGUGCCAUCUUCACACGGUGGAAGUCGCUGGUUCGAGUCCAGCUGUGCCCA